Xiphophorus couchianus (Monterrey platyfish) is the source of this 4363-nucleotide RNA transcript. It is a transcript of the gene named glutaminase 2a (liver, mitochondrial), with no coding region annotated. NCBI's taxonomy places the organism in Eukaryota, Metazoa, Chordata, Actinopteri, Cyprinodontiformes, Poeciliidae. The record is from RefSeq and is a predicted model, not a curated record. The transcript is spliced from 19 exons.
UACAGUACAUGAGCCACGCGGGGAGACAGCAGCUGCUAUUAAAGCUCCGAGAACCAAAAGGCCACCGUUCACAUUUAUCGACCAAGACCAGCAGGCGGGUUGAGAAACUAAAGCCCUACCUAUCACAAUGUAUUGCCUGAAAAGUCUGCGGACGACCAACCCGGGAAUCUUGCAGCUGUUUAAAAAUGCAGUUAUCUCCACCAGACUUGGAGCUGACAUCUCCAGGAGUCAGCAACCUGUUCCUCUCUGGACGGCAACAAUUCAGUCCCACAGAGCCUUUCAUCCUCAUCAGAAAGGCCCUGAUGAGGACCAAGGACACUGCAAAAGCCGGCUCAUGUCCAGCAUAGAGGACCUGCUUUUUUACACCAUCACCGACGGGAAAGAGAUGAUCCCCAUCUCUCAGUUCAUCUCUGCUUUGAGAAGAACAGGUUUGUUAACGUCUGACCCUCGGCUGCGGGACUGUAUCCAUCAGAUGAGACAGUCUACGCUUGAUUCCAUGGGACCAGUCAUGAUGGACAAAAAACUUUUCAGAAGGUGUGUCGGCAACAACAUCAUGUUGCUGACAAAGGCUUUCAGAAAAAACUUCAUCAUCCCUGACUUUGAGGAUUUCACCCACCAGAUCAACAGGAUGUUUGAGAAUGCACAACAGCAAAGAGGAGGGCAUGUAGCCGAUUACAUUCCUCAGCUGGCUAAGUUCAGUCCGGAUCUUUGGGGCGUAUCUGUUUGCAGCACCGACGGUCAGAGAUACUCAGUGGGCGACACCAAGAUUCCCUUCUGCCUGCAGUCAUGUGUGAAGCCACUCGAGUACGCCAUCUCUGUGCAUGAGCAUGGCACUGAACACGUUCACCGCUUUGUGGGCAAGGAGCCCAGUGGCUUCAAGUUCAACAAACUGUCACUAAAUGAAGAAGAUAAACCACACAACCCCAUGGUGAAUGCUGGAGCUAUCGUCAUUAGUUCUUUGAUCAAGCCGCAUUCAAAUAAAGCGGAGAGGUUUGACUAUGUGAUGGAGUUCUUGAAAAGUAUGGCUGGUACAGAGUAUGUGGGAUUCAGCAAUGCGACUUUCCAGUCAGAGAGAGAGACUGGAGAUAGAAACUAUGCAAUUGGUUAUUACCUGAAAGAAAAAAAGUGCUUCCCUGACAGGGCAGAUAUGAUCGGAGCCCUUGACUUCUACUUCCAGUUGUGCUCCAUUGAGGUGACCUGUGAGUCUGGAAGUGUCAUGGCUGCCACACUGGCCAAUGGAGGCAUUUGUCCAAUCACGGGCGAUCGUGUGCUCAGUGCUGAAGCCGUUCGCAACACGUUGAGUCUGAUGCAUUCCUGCGGGAUGUACGACUUUUCUGGGCAAUUUGCUUUCCAUGUGGGGGUGCCUGCCAAAUCUGGCGUUUCAGGGGCUGUUCUGCUGGUGGUUCCCAACGUUAUGGGCAUGCUGUGUUGGUCCCCGCCGCUGGAUCGGCUCGGAAACAGCGUCAGAGGAAUUCACUUCUGUCAAGAGCUUGUUUCUUACUUCAACUUCCAUAAUUAUGACAACCUGAGGCAUUUCACCAAGAAACACGACCCGAGGAGACAGAUGGACGACGAUCCAAACAAGUCAGUUGUUAAUCUGAUGUUUGCAGCGUACAGCGGUGACGUCUGUGCUUUGAGGAGGUUCGCGCUGUCAGCUGUUGACAUGGAGCAGAGGGAUUAUGACUCUCGCACCGCUCUCCACAUCGCUGCUGCCGGAGGCCACGCGGACGCUGUAACGUUCCUGACACGAAUAUGUAAACUGAAUCCGUACAUUAAGGACAGAUGGGGCAACACACCCCUUGAUGACGCCAUGCAGUUUGGCCAUGAUGUUGUUGUUUCAGUCCUGCAAAAGUACCAACAUGAGUGCAAAGACUCGUCCAGCCGCACAGAGGAGCAGAACCCCGCUCUGGACACGAUGAAGAACUCUGUUUAAGAAAUAUUCAUGAAAGUUUGGAUUGAAACCUUCUGCUGCACAGCGGGAAAGAAUCACAGGACAGAAGGGCUGUGGUGUCCAGUGUCUGUCCUCAAGUGCAGGCGUCCCACAUGUUUCAGAUAUUUUCCUAUUUCAACACACCUGACUCAAAUGAACAGUUACCAGGAACCACGCAGUGCUUGAUGGCAGGCUGAAGAAGUUAUUUGUUCAUUUCGAAUAAGUUGCAGCAGGACAACAGGCCUCCAAGGACCAGAACUGGACACCGCUGUUAGAGGGCACUGCUGCAUCCUAGUGAAAGUCUAGAUGUGUAGAUGGUGAGAUGAUCAACAUGUGAAUGUGCUGCUGAUCUCCAGACCACCCCGACACUGCAGGAGAGCCAAUCAGAGAAGCAGAAAAUAGCACUAAGAUCUGUCUGGCAACUGCUAGGUGUAGCCGUGUCAUGAUUGCUUUCACACUGAAGGAGGUUUUCCUCAUUUGCAGCAAUCCAAGCAGCUUCUAACAGGUAAUUAAAAUCAUAGAGGGGAUUCAUCCAGUGUGAACAGGGCCUUAAUUAAAAUACUCUGGGGAUUAAACUUCAAUGUGUCAUUAGAGAUUUAUUUAAAAGGAGUCUGAAAGCUACUGGGGCUGUUCUGUUGGGAAAAUAAUAUGCACUUCAGUAUGCUCCCUACCAGCUGGGUUUUGUUUUGUUCUUUAUUGAUAUGCACAUGCUCACUAUGGUGUUUAGGAUUUAUAAAGACUGUAUAAACCUUCAUGUUAAUUUUUUAAUUUUUUUUUAUUAGGCAGUAAUAAUUGUGAGACUCAGGGCCAAUACUGCGGCUAAAGAUAAUUAAACCAACAAGUUGCAUUGAUAGCCAAGAUAUAUAGUUUCCUAUUAGGUUUUAAUGCCUAAAAAAAUAAGACCGCAUAUUUAUAUAUUUUUAAAUGUCCACCUUUAUAUAACAGUUUUUGAAUAAUUCAACUGACAAACCAAUAAAUUUAAGAAAAAGAUUUAAAAAGUUCAAUAACCUGGAAGCAUAAGAGUGCACACUUUUAAAAUAAUACUUUACUGAAACAACAGUACUGGAAUAUCGGUCAGCAAAUUUUAAAUUUACUUUUUUUUCUGGUUGAACCAUUCGAGUCGGCAUUCUCUCUUAUGUAGAGAGAUGCCAAAAAAUAAUGUCCUCUUUCAUUUUCAGCCAUUUAGCAGAAACCUUAAUGAGCUAAAACUGAGUAUUUGGAACAGCUUACAAUCUCCUCCAUCUUGAAAAAAAGCCUUGCUCCAUCAGAAGAAUUAUAAUCCCAGAGCAUCAUGCUGCCAACACCUUGUUCCACAUUUGAAACACUUUUUCCCGAGUUUUUCAGAAAUUUGGAAGGAAAAAUCUGGAUUCUGUUUAGCAAACUUAUUUUAUCAACUAAACUUACAGUAAAUAUAGCAGAUAUGCAGUUAUGCAACCAGGUUAUAAUACUCUUUAGCUUUGCUAUAUUUCUGCUUACAAAUUUGUUGGUCAAUUGAAUUGAUCUGAAAAUUGAAAAAUAGUUUCUAAAUAAUUUAUACUGGUCUUAUUCUUUUUAAUUUAAAACCUGUUUGUGUAUAUUUGAGAUCCAGUGCAUGCAGAGAUGCACCAAUCAAAAGACUGGAAUCAGUCGAUAUCUCCUUGAUCAUUAAAUCUAAAUAUGUUCAAUAUUUUUGUACUACAAACACAUCAUCUAACAGGAAACAGUUAGAUACAUUUUAGAAUUGAAUAUAAAUCAUAUAAAAAGUUAAAUAUCGACAUAUCGACUCCAGGUAUAAAUAGCAAUUGUUCCAUAGUUUCUUCAUGUUUGUUUGUGUUCAAAAUGGCUACCUUUAUGAAAUGUAAAAUGAUUUCCUGCAGGUUUUAUGUGUCAUACAAGAACUGAUCAGAAUAUGUUAAAUUCUGUUAAAUAUUUGACAAGAGGCAUCAAAGACAACCAAAAAAACGGAAUCGACCAGAAAAAGCCUGAUCGGUGCUUCUCCAUAAAAAUGUCUUACUAAAACUGACUUUUCAUGUUUUCAAUUUCAAGCUUCAUAACCUUUACAUUUCACUUGUCAUAAAACUUUAAAUAUUCAAUGAUUUAUUUUUCCCAAUACCAUCAGUUAAUUCUGUUGCGAUGUCAACAUGUUAAGCUAGUAGUUGGUGUAUCCUGACUGUAUUUUUUGUUUAAGUUUAAAUUUAUCAUCAUUACUUACAAUCUACAAGUUUGGAAACAUGAGUAAAGUGAAUAGAGUUUCUCAAAAUAAGGUUUAAACAUGUUUUUACUUUUAAGGAAAAUAUCAAACAUGUAAAUUUAAAAUAAGAUAAAAAUGUAAUAUACUCAACUAUCAUAUCUAAAAGUGUUUUUUUUCUAAGUUUAGGUUUUACACUCAGCAAAACUUCUGUACAAAUCUUCAGUUCACUGUAAAUAGUUACCUGUAAAUAAAAAGAAAAAUGU